This 459-nucleotide ribosomal RNA is filed under the name uncultured bacterium. Its description in RNAcentral is "bacterial SSU rRNA". It matches the Rfam family "Bacterial small subunit ribosomal RNA", at positions 30 to 507 of the family's 1533-position model. The record is from RNAcentral.
AUUGAACGCUGGCGGCAUGCUUUACACAUGCAAGUCGAACGGUAACAGGGAGCUUGCUCCGCUGACGAGUGGCGAACGGGUGAGUAAUGCAUCGGAACGUGCCGUGUAGUGGGGGAUAACGUAGCGAAAGUUACGCUAAUACCGCAUACGCCCUGAGGGGGAAAGCGGGGGAUCGCAAGACCUCGCGCGAUUGGAGCGGCCGAUAUCAGAUUAGGUAGUUGGUGAGGUAAAGGCUCACCAAGCCAACGAUCUGUAGCUGGUCUGAGAGGACGACCAGCCACACUGGAACUGAGACACGGUCCAGACUCCUACGGGAGGCAGCAGUGGGGAAUCUUAGACAAUGGGGGAAACCCUGAUCUAGCCAUGCCGCGUGAGCGAUGAAGGCCUUAGGGUUGUAAAGCUCUUUCAGUGGGGAAGAUAAUGACGGUACCCACAGAAGAAGCCCCGGCUAACUCCGUG